RNAcentral lists this ribosomal RNA (460 nucleotides) under uncultured bacterium. RNAcentral describes it as "partial 16S ribosomal RNA". It matches the Rfam family "Bacterial small subunit ribosomal RNA", at positions 338 to 795 of the family's 1533-position model. The record is from RNAcentral.
CCUACGGGAGGCUGCAGUGAGGAAUAUUGGUCAAUGGGCGAGAGCCUGAACCAGCCAAGUCGCGUGAAUGAUGAAGGAUCUAUGGUUUGUAAACUUCUUUUAUAUGGGAGUAAAGUGAGGAACGUGUUCCUUUUUGUAUGUACCAUAUGAAUAAGCAUCGGCUAACUCCGUGCCAGCAGCCGCGGUAAUACGGAGGAUGCGAGCGUUAUCCGGAUUUAGUGGGUUUAAAGGGUGCGUAGGUGGUUAAUUAAGUCAGAGGUGAAAGUUUGUGGCUCAACCAUAAAAUUGCCGUUGAAACUGGUUGACUUGAGUAUAGGUGAGGUAGGCGGAAUGCGUGGUGUAGCGGUGAAAUGCAUAGAUAUCACGCAGAACUCCGAUUGCGAAGGCAGCUUACUAAACUAUAACUGACGCUGAGGCACGAAAGCGUGGGGAGCAAACAGGAUUAGAUACCCUGGUAGUC